AGAUGGUGGAGCAGCUACCACCUGCAAAAACGGGCGUCCCGAAAAGCCAAACGAGUAGGACCACA
Non-coding RNA from Mucilaginibacter sp. OK098, 65 nucleotides. NCBI's taxonomy places the organism in Bacteria, Pseudomonadati, Bacteroidota, Sphingobacteriia, Sphingobacteriales, Sphingobacteriaceae. The record is from Rfam.